RNAcentral lists this transfer RNA (71 nucleotides) under Marmota monax (woodchuck). It matches the Rfam family "tRNA". Rfam says of the family: Transfer RNA (tRNA) molecules are approximately 80 nucleotides in length. Their secondary structure includes four short double-helical elements and three loops (D, anti-codon, and T loops). The record is from Rfam by way of RNAcentral. Lineage: Eukaryota; Metazoa; Chordata; Mammalia; Rodentia; Sciuridae.
GGGGUUAUGGCUCAGUGGUAGAGUGCUUGCCUAGCAUGUAUGAGGCACUGGGUUCAAUCCCCAGGACCACA